GGAAGGAUCAUUACCGAGUGCAAUCUCGUUAAUCUAGGUGGGGUCUAUUGGCGAUUGUCAUACGGUGGGCGCUUUGCGCAAUUCCGGGCCAAUAGACCUGACAGAAUUGGUUAGAAAAAUGCCUCAGUCGGAGGGUCCUCGGACCCUUUUGCAAAGUCGCGACUCUUUGUUUCUGUACCUUCGGGUCGGAUUCAUACUUUGACUUUGCUGUGACCUAAAGGCGCGACACUUUUCAGACCCUUUUCUAAGCGACCCUGAGUUAGGACGUUCUUUGAACGUCAGUUGGGUACCUACCCGCUAUGCCUUCUCAGCUCAAUACUCAAGCUGGGUUAAUUCAUAAGGCAUACGGUUAACCGUUUUUGACAGUGAACGACUCUAACUGUCUAGACGGGCAAGGUUUAAAGAGUAUUAUGAAAGGACGGUUCGCCGUUAUAAGUGCGCAGUGCGACGCGUACCAUAAUACCGCCCAGCAAACCCCUUUUAACUCUGUAAUACUUAACGAAGACUUGGUUUACCAAGACUUCAAAACAGAAUUCUGAGCGGUGGAUCACUCGGCUCGUGGGUCGAUGAAGAACGCAGCUAGCUGCGUGAUUUAAUGUGAAUUGCAGACACAUUGAACAUCGACAUUUCGAACGCACAUUGCGGCCUUGGGUUUCUCUCGAGGCCACGUCUGUCUGGGGGUCGUUUGUACGACAGCAUAUGGUGAAUUGCUUUAACCGGUCACGGUUAGAGAUUGGAUUCGCCACAUUGGACUACUGAAGUCGCGACAUUAGUUUCCGUACCUUCGGGUCGGAGACCUUUGACUUUACUAGUCUGGAGAAAGAAACGCCAGUGGCUUGUGCACUGGCUAUGAAUAAACCUUCGGUGCGAUCCGUUCACUGGAGUUAAUCUAGUUGCGUGACUUUUAUAGUUUGCGAUAAUUUAGAUUGACAAAAGUGACCAAUAUCGAAGGCUUUAUUUCAUCAUUCGACCUCAGAUCAGACGUGAGUACCCGCUGAAUUUAAGCAUAUUAGUAGGCGGAGGAAAAGAAACUAACAAGGAUUCCCAGAGUAACGGCGAGUGAAAUGGGAAAAGCCCAGCGCUGAAUCCCUUCGGUCCGAGACCGUCGGACCUGUAGCGUUUUAGUCUCCUUUUCCGGAGUCGACACACUUUCAAAGUCCCCUUGAACGGGGCCACUGCCCAUAGCGGGUGCAAGGCCCAUUUGAAAGGAGUCGGUUUCGGUAUAAGGUAGGCUAUAGAGUCGGGUUGCUUGAGAGUGCAGCCCAAAGGGGUGUAAACUCCAUCCAAGGCUAAAUAUAACCACGAGACCGAUAGCAAACAAGUACCGUGAGGGAAAGUUGCAAAGAACUUUGAAGAGAGAGUUAAAAGGACGUGAAACGCUUGGAAGGAAACGGGUGGAGCUGCUAUGCAGUCCCCAAAAUUCAGUCUUCCAACGUCCGACCUUUUGGAACCGAUCGUAAGACGGGACCUUUAGGCUCGGUUCGUUUGGAUGAUGCAUUUUUUGGGGAUGAGCGUCACGACCGAUUGACCUUCCGACAGAAAGGUGGUAGGAAUGCCGACAUACGCUUUGGCGUUUGUGACCCUUCAGCUACUCUGUUCGGGUAAGGACGAUCGAGUAUAGACCGUGUCGGCUGUCGCAUAGAUUUUGUUUAAACUAUCGGACUUUACUUGCAAGUCGAGCUUGCUCGGCGGGCAGACCCCCGGUGGGAAGUGACUUAAUCUUUGCGUUAGACGCAAAUGGUCUGUGACGUCUGAGUCAGUCACCCACCCGACCCGUCUUGAAACACGGACCAAGAAGUCUAACAUGUGCGCAAGUCAUUGGGUUUUAAACCCAAAGGCGAAAUGAAAGUGAAACAUGGUGGGAUUCCUAGUCUUCGGAUUGGGACGCACCACUGUCCCGUCUGAUCUGCAUGUCAGAUAGGCGGAGAAAGAGCGUACACGUUGGGACCCGAAAGAUGGUGAACUAUGCCUGAGCAGGAUGAAGCCAGAGGAAACUCUGGUGGAAGUCCGUAGCGGUUCUGACGUGCAAAUCGAUCGUCAGACUUGGGUAUAGGGGCGAAAGACUAAUCGAACCAUCUAGUAGCUGGUUCCCUC
Molecule: unclassified non-coding RNA, 2094 nt
Filed under: uncultured fungus
Lineage: Eukaryota; Fungi
Description: sequence contains 18S rRNA gene, ITS1, 5.8S rRNA gene, ITS2, 28S rRNA gene
Rfam family: Eukaryotic large subunit ribosomal RNA (bases 968-2094)
Source: RNAcentral